Molecule: ribosomal RNA, 255 nt
Filed under: uncultured bacterium
Lineage: Bacteria
Description: partial 16S ribosomal RNA
Rfam family: Bacterial small subunit ribosomal RNA
Source: RNAcentral
UACGUAGGAGGCGAGCGUUGUCCGGAAUUACUGGGCGUAAAGCGUGCGCAGGCGGUUCGUUGUGUCGGCGGUGAAAGCCCCGGGCUCAACCUGGGAAUGGCCGUUGAAACUGGCGAACUGGAGUGUGGCAGGAGGGGGGUGGAAUUCCGCGUGUAGCAGUGAAAUGCGUAGAGAUGCGGAGGAACACCGAUGGCGAAGGCAGCCCCCCUGGGCUGACACUGACGCUCAGGCACGAAAGCGUGGGGAGCAAACAGG